UCAGGCCUAACACAUGCAAGUCGAACGGUAACGCGGGGCAACCUGGCGACGAGUGGCGAACGGGUGAGUAAUGUAUCGGAACGUGCCCAGUAGUGGGGGAUAGCCCGGCGAAAGCCGGAUUAAUACCGCAUGAGACCUAAGGGUGAAAGCGGGGGAUCGUAAGGCCUCGCGCUAUUGGGGCGGCCGAUAUCAGAUUAGGUAGUUGGUGGGGUAAAAGCCUACCAAGCCGACGAUCUGUAGCUGGUCUGAGAGGACGACCAGCCACACUGGGACUGAGACACGGCCCAGACUCCUACGGGAGGCAGCAGUGGGGAAUUUUGGACAAUGGGCGCAAGCCUGAUCCAGCCAUGCCGCGUGCGGGAAGAAGGCCUUCGGGUUGUAAACCGCUUUUGUCAGGGAAGAAAUCUUCUGGGC
This 414-nucleotide ribosomal RNA is filed under the name uncultured bacterium. Its description in RNAcentral is "bacterial SSU rRNA". It matches the Rfam family "Bacterial small subunit ribosomal RNA", at positions 42 to 460 of the family's 1533-position model. The record is from RNAcentral.